UGCAGAAUCCCGCGAACCAUCGAGUCUUUGAACGCAAGUUGCGCCUGCCGCCACUUGGCCAAGGGCACGCCUGCUUGGGCGUCACGCCAAACACGCUCCCACCACUCAUCGGGAAGUGGGAUGUGGCAUGUGGCCUCCCGUUUUACAUGGUGCGGUGGGCCUAAGAUGUGGCUGCCGGCCUAUCGUGCCGGACACAGCGCGUGGUGGGCGAUCUUGCUUUACUUACCGCAGUGCGUACGGACCGUAGCCGAUGUUAUGGCCUAAAGGACCCAAAGAACGGUGUGCUUUACGCUUCGACCGCGACCCCAAGUCAGGCGGGACUACCCGCUGAGUUUAAGCAUAUAAAUAAGCGGUGGAGAAGAAACUUACAAGGAUUCCCCUAGUAACGGCGAGCGAACCGGGAUCAGCCCAGCUUGAGAAUCGGGCGACCUUGCUGUCCGA
Molecule: ribosomal RNA, 441 nt
Filed under: Poa infirma
Lineage: Eukaryota; Viridiplantae; Streptophyta; Magnoliopsida; Poales; Poaceae
Description: eukaryotic LSU rRNA
Rfam family: Eukaryotic large subunit ribosomal RNA (bases 301-441)
Source: RNAcentral